This 587-nucleotide ribosomal RNA is filed under the name uncultured bacterium. RNAcentral's name for it is "bacterial SSU rRNA". It matches the Rfam family "Bacterial small subunit ribosomal RNA", at positions 338 to 916 of the family's 1533-position model. The record is from RNAcentral.
CCUAGGGAGGCAGCAGUGGGGAAUUUUGGACAAUGGGCGCAAGCCUGAUCCAGCAAUGCCGCGUGAGUGAAGAAGGCCUUCGGGUUGUAAAGCUCUUUUGUCAGGGAAGAAACGGUGGGAGCUAAUAUCUCCUACUAAUGACGGUACCUGAAGAAUAAGCACCGGCUAACUACGUGCCAGCAGCCGCGGUAAUACGUAGGGUGCAAGCGUUAAUCGGAAUUACUGGGCGUAAAGCGUGCGCAGGCGGUUUUGUAAGUCUGUCGUGAAAGCCCCGGGCUCAACCUGGGAAUUGCGAUGGAGACUGCAAGGCUUGAAUCUGGCAGAGGGGGGUGGAAUUCCACGUGUAGCAGUGAAAUGCGUAGAGAUGUGGAGGAACACCGAUGGCGAAGGCAGCCCCCUGGGUCAAGAUUGACGCUCAUGCACGAAAGCGUGGGGAGCAAACAGGAUUAGAUACCCUGGUAGUCCACGCCCUAAACGAUGUCUACUAGUUGUCGGGUUUUAAUUAACUUGGUAACGCAGCUAACGCGUGAAGUAGACCGCCUGGGGAGUACGGUCGCAAGAUUAAAACGUCAAAAUGAAAUUGACGG